UACGUAGGUGACAAGCGUUGUCCGGAUUUAUUGGGCGUAAAGAGCGCGUAGGCGGUCGUUCAAGUCGAGUGUGAAAGCCCCCGGCUCAACUGGGGAGGGUCAUUCGAUACUGAUCGACUCGAAGGCAGGAGAGGGAAGUGGAAUUCCCGGUGUAGUGGUGAAAUGCGUAGAUAUCGGGAGGAACACCAGUGGCGAAGGCGACUUCCUGGCCUGUUCUUGACGCUGAGGCGCGAAAGCUAGGGGAGCAAACGGG
RNAcentral lists this ribosomal RNA (253 nucleotides) under uncultured bacterium. RNAcentral describes it as "partial 16S ribosomal RNA". It matches the Rfam family "Bacterial small subunit ribosomal RNA", at positions 524 to 776 of the family's 1533-position model. The record is from RNAcentral.